UGUGAUAGAUUUUAAUUAGAUAGUCCUUCUUAGCCAUCUUUAGCUCCCGGUUUUUAAGGGCUAUCCAUCCAAUCAAAAUGCUU
Non-coding RNA from Pelagibacteraceae bacterium BACL5 MAG-120820-bin39, 83 nucleotides. The record is from Rfam. NCBI's taxonomy places the organism in Bacteria, Pseudomonadati, Pseudomonadota, Alphaproteobacteria, Candidatus Pelagibacterales, Candidatus Pelagibacteraceae.